This 253-nucleotide ribosomal RNA is filed under the name uncultured bacterium. RNAcentral's name for it is "partial 16S ribosomal RNA". It matches the Rfam family "Bacterial small subunit ribosomal RNA", at positions 524 to 776 of the family's 1533-position model. The record is from RNAcentral.
UACGUAGGGCGCAAGCGUUGUCCGGAAUUAUUGGGCGUAAAGAACUCGUAGGCGGCUUGUCACGUCGAUUGUGAAAGCCCGAGGCUUAACCUCGGGUCUGCAGUCGAUACGGGCUAGCUAGAGUGUGGUAGGGGAGAUCGGAAUUCCUGGUGUAGCGGUGAAAUGCGCAGAUAUCAGGAGGAACACCAAUGGCGAAGGCAGAUCUCUGGGCCGUAACUGACGCUGAGGAGCGAAAGCAUGGGGAGCGAACAGG